UAGGGAAUAUUGCGCAAUGGGGGAAACCCUGACGCAGCAACGCCGCGUGAGUGAGGAAGGUCUUCGGAUUGUAAAACUCUUUUAUCAGGGAAAAAUGGUCAUGGAGCUAAUACCCCAUGAUUUGAUGGUACCUGAGGAAUAAGCACCGGCUAACUUCGUGCCAGCAGCCGCGGUAAUACGAAGGGUGCAAGCGUUGUUCGGAAUCAUUGGGCGUAAAGCGCGCGCAGGCGGAUCAGCAAGUCAGAUGUGAAAUCUCGGAGCUCAACUCCGAAACUGCGUCUGAAACUGCUAGUCUAGAAUGUCGGAGGGGGCAGGGGAAUUUCACGUGUAGGGGUAAAAUCCGUAGAGAUGUGAAGGAACACCGGAGGCGAAGGCGCCUGCCUGGACGACUAUUGACGCUGAGGCGCGAAAGCGUGGGGAGCAAACA
RNAcentral lists this ribosomal RNA (427 nucleotides) under uncultured Peredibacter sp. RNAcentral describes it as "bacterial SSU rRNA". It matches the Rfam family "Bacterial small subunit ribosomal RNA", at positions 355 to 774 of the family's 1533-position model. Lineage: Bacteria; Pseudomonadati; Bdellovibrionota; Bacteriovoracia; Bacteriovoracales; Bacteriovoracaceae. The record is from RNAcentral.